UGAUGUGGAUUAUUUAUUAAGCUGAGUCUCAGCGAUAAAAGUGAUGAAAAACCUUUUAAAUCAUAAAAGAUAGUAGAUUUUAUUCUCUACUUGACUCUUUUAAUGGAUUGCUUGUUCCACUGCAGUUAAACUUGAUGGUUGUUAUAUUGUAUCAGUUUAACACUGUUAAAGGCUAAAUAUAAUAUAUUCUGCAUUAUCUUAGUAAUAAUAUUUCCUACUGGGCUAGUUGAGCUCACCCUUUUACUUUCAUUGUCAGGAAAUGAGAACGUAGCAGGGACUAGUCUGGGAACGGAGUGACGUGCCAGAUGAUAGCAUUAGUAAUCCUCACUAUUCUGUCAAAUAGUGUGAUAAUAAUUAUAAUGAGGACUCCUUUUGAGUUUGUAUAAUCUCUAGUAGACAAUAUUUGCAUUCAAACUCACAGCUUAUGUUUUGUCGUAUUGUACAAGACAGUUGUAUUAUUAACUUGUAUUUGAAUUUAUGUACCAUGUAAGUGGCAACCCAAGAUGGGUGACGUAUACCUAAUUUUGGGGGCGUCACACUGUCUAUGCGAAGUACCGCAUGCAUGGUGAUUUCUUUUGUUAUUCCAUUCUUCAUUAUACUCAGUUGGUUAAAGUUUUGACUUCUAUAUUCCAUGAAAUUAGUAGAAUAUCCUUGGUAUUUGCGCUUCAUCCAG
Molecule: long non-coding RNA, 673 nt
Filed under: Panax ginseng (ginseng)
Lineage: Eukaryota; Viridiplantae; Streptophyta; Magnoliopsida; Apiales; Araliaceae
Description: long non-coding RNA (PGIN_LNC018991)
Source: RNAcentral